This is an RNA transcript of Ceratina calcarata, 2430 nucleotides long. It is a transcript of the gene named eukaryotic translation initiation factor 2B subunit epsilon, with no coding region annotated. The record is from RefSeq and is a predicted model, not a curated record. The transcript has 4 exons. Lineage: Eukaryota; Metazoa; Arthropoda; Insecta; Hymenoptera; Apidae.
AAUUUCUAAGCUUACAUCUUCCAUUCAAAAGCAAUUCAAAAGUUUGUACAUACAUUAACCUACAACUGUGACUACAACUGCAUUUAAAUAUAAAUAUUAUAUAUACAGAAACUGGUGCUGGCAGGUAGUUUUGAAAGAAAUUUCAAAUGGGGAAGAAAGAGAUUGUACAAGCUGUCGUUCUCGCGGACGACUUCGUCUCGAGUUUAACGCCGAUGCAUGACGUUCUCCCGAUGGUGUUAAUGCCUGUGAUGAACGUACCGCUUUUAGAUUAUUUAGUGGAAACGCUGAUCAAAUCGAGAGUACAGGAACUGUUUCUUUACUGUAGUAACCAUGUAGAUUUGAUAAAAGCAUACGUGAAGGAGAACAAGUGGUCGAAAAUAUCAGUUUCUUUGAUCGUAUCGGAUGCUUGCACAUCCCUCGGUGACGCUCUCAGAGACAUCGAUACGAAAGGUUCUAUUCGCGGUAAUUUCAUUCUCAUAAGAGGAGACGCGUUUAUCAAUGCGAAUCUUGUACAUCUUUUAAACGAUCAUUGCUCGAGACUCGAAAAAGACAAAGGGGCGACGAUGACCAUGGUGUUGAGAAACGUCGGUUCGACAGCCGUGUCUUCUCUGAGGCGAGAGACGUGUCUUGUCGUCUCCGACAAGAGUAGCAAGAAGAUUUUACACUACAGCAAGCUGAGGAACGACGAGAAGAAGGUAAAGUUGGAACUGAGCUGGUUCUUAGACCACAACGAGAUCGAGAUCGACACCUGCUUUCUGGAUACUCACGUCUACUUAUGUUCACCUUCCGUGCUUCCACUGUUCUCUGACAAUUUUGAUUUUCAAACAAUGGAAGAUUUCAUUAGAGGGGUGCUGAUGAACGAAGAGAUCUUGAACUCUCGCGUAUACUGGCAACAACUGAAUCCUGAGGAUCACAGCCUGCCGAUCGUAUCUUGGAACAUGUAUCACACUCUGAACAGAGACAUCUUGAACAGACACAGCUUUCCGCUGACACCGAACGGGGUCCCGUUUUUAAACGAUUUUAUACAGAUGCCUAGAACCACUUAUAAACACAGAACCGCUACCCUCGCUAAGGGUUGUAGAUUAGAGAAGGACAGCGUGUUGUCGAGAAACAGUACGGUCGGAAACGACACUUGCAUCGCAAGAUCCGUGAUCGGUGAUCAUUGUUCGGUAGGCUCGAACGUGACGAUUAAAAAUGCGUACGUUCUGCCGAACAAUACGAUCGAAGAUAAUUGCACGAUCACGAACAGCGUGAUAUUUUCCAACUGUUCGAUGAGAUCGGGAGUACGCUUGAGCGGGUGUAUACUCUGUCCCGGAACAAUCGUCGAUACCUCGGCCGAGUACGCGGAUUCUAUAUUAGAAUCGCGAAACAAUCAAAUGUUCGUCAGGAGAAUGUCUGAGGUCGACGCGGAGGAAUUUCAGUUCUUUAAAAACGUCGACACCGCGGAAAGUGACGACGACUCGACCACAGACGUGACAAGCAUAGACGAUGGUUCCGAAUGCAAUUCGCCGGUUCCGGACGACACGAACAUGUUUCUGUCCGAAGUGAUUGACAGUUUACUGAGAGGUUUCCAGGACAAAUUGAACUGCGACAACCUGAUUUUAGAGAUCAACUCGUCGAGAUACGCGUACAACGUGACCAUGAGCGAAGUGACGUACAACGUUAUCAAAGCUGUACUCAGCCUACCUUUCCAUUAUCUGUCCGAGAAGAAAGAAGCCGUUACCGAUCAGAAUUAUCAAAGAAAUUUAAAGAUCAUGAUCACUUAUUUUUAUUCGAUCAUCUUGAAUUACGUCAAGACGGAGGAUGCACAGGACGAUUGCUUGCGGGCGAUAGAAGAGGUUGCGAGCACGACUCAACAGUUGUUACCGUUUCUACAGCAUCUGCUGCACUUAUUCUACGAGAAGGACGUGCUGACGGAAGAGAAGAUUUUCGAGUGGUACGAAUCCGAGGAUAGAGAUACGGACGACUUCGAGGCGAGAAACAAGGUGCGAGCCGCGGUUCAACCGUUCAUCAAGUGGUUGGAGGAAGCGGAAGAAGACUCGAGCGGAAGCGAUAACGAUUGAUGGUAGACCGGAAGAAGAUUCGUAGCUCGGUGAACUGUGACCAUCAAUGCUCGCCGUCUUGUACAGUAACUCAGACUCACUUGGAUCUGUCCACGUUCGCCGGAGAAGAGACCCCAAGCCGUCUCCUCGUUGUCCACCUGUGCCAACGUCGAACUCCAUUAUAUCUUAGUGUCUGGAGGGAACACGAUAUCCAACGCUUCGGCUCUCCGGAUCACCUGUGGUCACCGCGCAGAAGAUCAACUCGUGUUUGCUCCGACAUGUUAAAGCAGAGAUUAUAUUUGACCGAGGUCGAGUUCCACGAUGUAACGAGUUUCGUUUAGAAAUUCAUCUGACAGACGACGUGUGAAAGCGCGAAGAAUUACCUGUA